This 493-nucleotide ribosomal RNA is filed under the name uncultured bacterium. RNAcentral describes it as "partial 16S ribosomal RNA". It matches the Rfam family "Bacterial small subunit ribosomal RNA", at positions 27 to 507 of the family's 1533-position model. The record is from RNAcentral.
GAGUGAACGCUGGCGGUAGGCCUACCACAUGCAAGUCGAACGGCAGCACAGUAAGAGCUUGCUCUUACGGGUGGCGAGUGGCGGACGGGUGAGGAAUACAUCGGAAUCUACUUUUUCGUGGGGGAUAACGUAGGGAAACUUACGCUAAUACCGCAUACGACCUACGGGUGAAAGCAGGGGAUCUUCGGACCUUGCGCGAUUGAAUGAGCCGAUGUCGGAUUAGCUAGUUGGCGGGGUAAAGGCCCACCAAGGCGACGAUCCGUAGCUGGUCUGAGAGGAUGAUCAGCCACACUGGAACUGAGACACGGUCCAGACUCCUACGGGAGGCAGCAGUGGGGAAUAUUGGACAAAGGGCGCAAGCCUGAUCCAGCCAUACCGCGUGGGUGAAGAAGGCCUUCGGGUUGUAAAGCCCUUUUGUUGGGAAAGAAAAGCAGCAGGUUAAUACCCCGCUGUUCUGACGGUACCCAAAGAAUAAGCACCGGCUAACUUCGUG